Non-coding RNA from Cucumis melo (muskmelon), 88 nucleotides. The record is from Rfam. Lineage: Eukaryota; Viridiplantae; Streptophyta; Magnoliopsida; Cucurbitales; Cucurbitaceae.
AAGAGCCAAGUGAAUUGAAAGAUUCAUGUUUGGUUCGAGAAGGGAUUGUCGAAGUUUUGAAAUGAAUGGAAAGACAAUCUACUUUCAU